Molecule: non-coding RNA, 95 nt
Organism: Zea mays
Lineage: Eukaryota; Viridiplantae; Streptophyta; Magnoliopsida; Poales; Poaceae
Source: Rfam
UUGCUAUGAUGAGGCAUAACACCUUUUGAGAGCAGAUUAUUGCUCUAUGAACUUGGGAAAUGUUCAGAUUUCCUCCUGAGCGGUUACCUGAGCAA